This 301-nucleotide ribosomal RNA is filed under the name uncultured bacterium. RNAcentral's name for it is "partial 16S ribosomal RNA". It matches the Rfam family "Bacterial small subunit ribosomal RNA", at positions 509 to 807 of the family's 1533-position model. The record is from RNAcentral.
CAGCAGCCGCGGGAAAACGAAGGGGGCUAGCGUUGCUCGGAAUUACUGGGCGUAAAGGGAGCGUAGGCGGAUCGUUUAGUCAGGGGUGAAAUCCCGGGGCUCAACCUCGGAACUGCCUUUGAUACUGGCGAUCUUGAGUAUGGGAGAGGUGUGUGGAACUCCGAGUGUAGAGGUGAAAUUCGUAGAUAUUCGGAAGAACACCAGUGGCGAAGGCGACACACUGGCCCAUUACUGACGCUGAGGCUCGAAAGCGUGGGGAGCAAACAGGAUUAGAUACCCCUGUAGUCCCUGUCUCUUAUAC